Molecule: long non-coding RNA, 3496 nt
Filed under: Sus scrofa (pig)
Lineage: Eukaryota; Metazoa; Chordata; Mammalia; Artiodactyla; Suidae
Description: lncRNA (ENSSSCG00060049512.1)
Source: RNAcentral
UGGGGGCUGUUCCGCGUGGGCUGUUCCAGGCGAAAGCUCCCGAAACGCAGUUCCUCUGGAGAGCGAAGGCCCACGGCAGCUCAGCGGAUUUCUGGCGGCCGCUCCGGGUUUUUCACCUGUUCUCCCUGUCUUCAAUCGUAAGGCCUUCUUUCAUGCUCAAAUCCAGCAAGUUUUCGGCUGCUGCUGGGAAAAGGACUGGGGCUGUCACUAUUUCACAUCUGGUAUUACUGCUGAAGGGAACUGAAGCAGUCAUCAGCCUAUCCCUUUAUUAUUCCAAUUUCCUAAUUGAUUUAUUCGUUCGUCACGUAUGUAUUGAGGCUCCUUUCAUGUCCUAGGCCCUGUAUGAGUUACUGGAAGUACAACAUGGAAACGAAGUCAUGAAGUUAGAACGGGUUAAAGACACUGUUAUGGGGGAAUCACACAAAAUUUAAAUUUGCAAACAGUGUCAUCUCUUCUGAGAAGUGCGUGGCUCCCAGAGAGCCUGUUUUGGGGCGGGGUGGAGGAGGGAUGGAGGGGGUGGUAGGAGAUUGAUUUUGUGGAAUCUGAAGGCCGACUUGGAAGAACUUAACUACCUCCAAGGAGUGAGAGCUUGGCGUGGCUGGAAUGGGGCGCUGAAAGAGCAUUCAAUGUGGAGCGGAGUGUGACGGGGCAGGGGACCAAUUAGGAGGCUGCCUGAACAGUCGAGGCACUGGUGAUGGUAGAGAAGAGCACUGUUUAGGGAGUAAAAUGGACAGGAGUUGAUAGAUUGAAGAUUGUGGCCAAGGAGGAGGCAAGGUUGACUCUUAGAUUUGAGGUUGGUGGGGAUGCAUUUAUAGAUCUCAGGAGCUCUGAAGGAGACCCUUGAGGAAAAUAACUAAAAACGGAUGAUAAACGUAAAAACUAAAACUACCAAGUAAAUUUCUAGAAGAAAACACAGAGGAAAAAAAAAUCUUUGUGAUUUUGAGAUAGGCAAAGAUUUCUUAGGACACCAUAAUCAUGAACCGUAAAAGAAAUGAUUUGUAAAAUGAACUUAAUUAAAAUCUAAAACUUUUGUUCUUUGAAAGACAUCAUGAAAAAAUGAAAAGAUUGAGGGGGUGGAUUUGGAAUACAAUAUAUCUGACAAUCCAGAAUAUAUAAAGAACUCAUAUAAAUGAAUGACAACCCAAAACAAUGAGCAAAAGGUUUUAGUAAACUCUUCACCAAAGAAGAUAUAAAAAUGGCUAAUAAGCAACAAAAAGAUGCUCAGUAUCUUUAGCCAUACAGGGAUUUGCAAACUAAAACCAAAAUGAGAUGCCUCUACCCUCAUUACAGUAGCUAGAAUGAAAAAGACUGAUGACCCACCAACCACAUCCCUACACAUCUCCUUUACUGUACUAUACUCAAGCUCCAAAUACAGAUGAUAACAAAGUCAUACUCCCACCUGACAUGAUACAACUAACUUGCAUACAACCAAAAAGCAUCACACUUUCCCCAAAAGAGGAUGCAACCUUCCUGUGAUACUCCCUUUCCGCUUUUGACAUCCUGUAACUUAAUACUGUGAUAUAGGAGUUCCCGUCAUGGCUCAGUGGUUAACAAAUCCCACUAAGAAUCAUGAGGUUGUGGGUUCGAUCCCUGGCCUUGCUCAUGGGUUAAGGAUCUAGCGUUAUUGUGAGCCAAGAUCGCAAAUCCUGCAUUGCUGUGGCUGUGGUAUAGGCUGGCUGCCACAACUCUGAUUUGACCUCUAGCCUGGGAACUUCCAUAUGCCUCAGGCACAACCCUAAAAAAGCAAAAAAAAAAAAAAAAAAAAAAAGCCUUAAAUCCAUACAAUCUAUAUAAUGGACUGCUACACAGAAAUUUAAAAGAACUAAAUGCCAACACACUCAGCAAUGUGGAUCAUCUCAAAAUCAUUAUGAAGAAUGACAAGCUGAAAGCAGAAGGAUACAUACUGCAUAAUUCCAUACAAAAUUCUAGAAGAUGCUAAUGAGUCUAUAGUGACAGCAGUUCAGUUUUGCCCUGGGCACAAGAGGAAACUUUUGAGGGUGAUAAGAAUGAUUUGUAUCUUCACUGUGGUUGUAGUUUCAUAGAUGUAUACAUAUGUCAAAAUUCAUCAAGUUGUAUUCUUUAACAUAGGUGCAGUUUAUUGUACAUGUAGUAUACCUUAAUAAACUUGUUGUUAAAAAAGGAAUUCAUUUGAUGGGAUCCAUAUCAGAUUACAAACAGAACAGAGGAUUAAUGAACUGAAAGACUCACAGCAGAAAGUAUUCUCAUCAAAGUUCAGAAAGAGAAAAAGAGGGAAAACACAGAAAAGAACAUCAGAGAUAUAGCACAGAGUAAAAAACAGUGCUACAGAACAGAGACUAAAAUAAAAUGGAAAAAAAUACCAAUGUGUCUUCGUUGAAAACAUGUAAGUAAUUCUAUUCUUGAUGAAUCAAAAUACAGCAUUCAGACCCUUACCUGAUUAAUUUCAAGUUUGUGGAAAUUGAAAUAUUAUUCAUUUGGCAAAAUUUAGUAACAUCAUGGUAAAACAUUUAUGCAGAAAUAAAUUAUCCACACCAAAAAACUAUUACAUAUUACUCAGGGGAUGAAAUACAAAAGCAAUUUUUUUUUUGGCUUUUUUAGGGCCUCACUGGCAGCAUAUGGAGGUUCCCAGACUAGAGGUUCAAUUGGAGCUGCAGCCGCCGGCCUAUACUACAGCCACAGCAACACCAGAUCUGAGCCAAGUCUGCAACCUACGCCACAGCUCACGGCAACGCCGGAUCCUUAACCCAUUGAGCAAGGCCAGGGAUCAAACCUGCAACCUCAUGGUUCGUAGUUGGAUUUGUUUCUACUGAACCACAACAGGAACUCCAAAACUUAUUAAUUAAAACAUUAGCAGGUGGUAUGAAAAUAUUUGGGGAUAAGUUAAGAGAUGCCAAAUAAUAUUACUCAUUAUUUUAAUAUUCAAUACCUAAUGUAUAUAUCUGGCACAGAUAAUUAUGAUCAGAUUUAUAGAUUUCUAAAUUCAAACACUUUUAUAUCUGAACAUUUUAAGAGGUUUUUGUCAAACUGGAAAAGUUUAUUUAAAAUUUUAAAUUAAAUACUUACUAAUAGUGAACUUGACAGAAAUAAUUUGAGAAGCCAGAAAUAUAAUUGUGGUGCAAAUAUAUGUGGAAAAUUUAACAUUGCAGUAUAUCUUUGAAAAAAAUUAUAUGCCAUUCUGUUUCUUUUUUUAAGCAUUCUUUAAAUUUGAUAGUGACUAGUGCAGACAAAAUCUCUUUAAAACUUAUUGAAUUUGGAGUUCCCGUCGUGGCACAGUGGUUAACGAAUCCGACUAGGAACCAUGAGGUUGCGGGUUCGGUCCCUGCCCUUGCUCAGUGGGUUAACGAUCCAGCGUUGCGUGAGCUGUGGUGUAGGUUGCAGACACGACUCAGAUCCCACGUUGCUGUGGCUCUGGCAUAGGCUGGCAGCUACAGCUCCGAUUGGACCCCUAGCCUGGGAACUUCCAUAUACUGCAGGGGCGGCCCAAAGAAAUAGCAAAAAGACAAAAAAAAAAAAAAAA